UGUAUAAUGGGUCAGCGACUUAUAUUCUGUAGCAAGGUUAACCGUAUAGGGGAGCCGCAGGGAAACCGAGUCUUAACUGGGCGUUAAGUUGCAGGGUAUAGACCCGAAACCCGGUGAUCUAGCCAUGGGCAGGUUGAAGGUUGGGUAACACUAACUGGAGGACCGAACCGACUAAUGUUGAAAAAUUAGCGGAUGACUUGUGGCUGGGGGUGAAAGGCCAAUCAAACCGGGAGAUAGCUGGUUCUCCCCGAAAGCU
This 256-nucleotide ribosomal RNA is filed under the name Klebsiella pneumoniae. RNAcentral's name for it is "partial 23S ribosomal RNA". It matches the Rfam family "Bacterial large subunit ribosomal RNA", at positions 609 to 867 of the family's 2925-position model. Lineage: Bacteria; Pseudomonadati; Pseudomonadota; Gammaproteobacteria; Enterobacterales; Enterobacteriaceae. The record is from RNAcentral. RNAcentral also lists the same sequence under 2 other names.